RNAcentral lists this ribosomal RNA (496 nucleotides) under uncultured bacterium. Its description in RNAcentral is "partial 16S ribosomal RNA". It matches the Rfam family "Bacterial small subunit ribosomal RNA", at positions 28 to 507 of the family's 1533-position model. The record is from RNAcentral.
GACGAACGCUGGCGGCGUGCCUAAUACAUGCAAGUCGAACGCUGAAGAGAGGAGCUUGCUCUUCUUGGAUGAGUUGCGAACGGGUGAGUAACGCGUAGGUAACCUGCCUGGUAGCGGGGGAUAACUAUUGGAAACGAUAGCUAAUACCGCAUAAAAUGGAUUAUCGCAUGAUAAUCCAUUGAAAGGUGCAAAUGCAUCACUACUAGAUGGACCUGCGUUGUAUUAGCUAGUUGGUGGGGGAACGGCCCACCAAGGCGACGAUAGGUAGCCGGCCUGGAAGGAUGACGAGCCACACUGGAACUGAGACACGGUCCGGACUCCACGGGGAGGAGGAAGUGGGGAAUAUUGGACAAUGACCGCAGUCCGGCUGAAGCACGCCGGCGUAGGUGAAGAAGGCCUCCGGGCGGAAAGGUCUGUUGGUAGGGAAGGAAAAGUAGCAGGGUGAAAAGUUCACGUUCUGACGGUACCUAAACAAUAAGCAACGGCUAACUACGUG